RNAcentral lists this microRNA precursor (67 nucleotides) under Bombyx mori (domestic silkworm). RNAcentral's name for it is "mir-2774 microRNA precursor family". It matches the Rfam family "mir-2774 microRNA precursor family". Lineage: Eukaryota; Metazoa; Arthropoda; Insecta; Lepidoptera; Bombycidae. The record is from Rfam by way of RNAcentral.
ACAACAUUUGGACCGUUGGUCUACCGAGCAAUAUCAACCGCUCAGUGGAAUAUCUUCCUUUCGUCGU